RNAcentral lists this ribosomal RNA (496 nucleotides) under uncultured archaeon. Its description in RNAcentral is "bacterial SSU rRNA". It matches the Rfam family "Archaeal small subunit ribosomal RNA", at positions 857 to 1351 of the family's 1478-position model. The record is from RNAcentral.
UAAAGGAAUUGGCGGGGGAGCACCACAAGGGGUGAAGCCUGCGGUUCAAUUGGAGUCAACGCCAGAAAUCUUACCCGGAGAGACAGCAGAAUGAAGGUCAAGCUGAAGACUUUACCAGACAAGCUGAGAGGUGGUGCAUGGCCGUCGCCAGCUCGUGCCGUGAGAUGUCCUGUUAAGUCAGGUAACGAGCGAGAUCCCUGCCACUAGUUGCUAUCAUUAUUCUCAGGAAUAAUGGGGCGAAUUAGUGGGACUGCCGUUGUUAAAACGGAGGAAGGAAGGGGCUACGGCAGGUCAGUAUGCCCCGAAACUCUGGGGCCACACGCGGGCUGCAAUGGUAGUGACAAUGAGUUCCAAACUCGAAAGAGAGUGGCAAUCUCUAAACGCUACCACAGUUAUGACUGAGGGCUGUAACUCGCCCUCACGAAUAUGGAAUCCCUAGUAACCGCGUGUCAUUACCGCGCGGUGAAUACGUCCCUGCUCCUUGCCCACACCGCCA